UGAAGAGAAAAUAUGGGAGGAUCACUCCUAACUUCAAAGCCUGUUAAUAUGUUUAUUACGUGUAAGUCGGAGACUUUGUACAACCACUGGAUUGACUUAAGUCAAAGGGAAAAUUCUUCUUUAUAAAAGAAAGGUAGUUAAUAUCGCUAAAAACUGUGGUCAGACUUCUAAGAUUAACAUCCUUGGAUGUUAAAUGAAUACUCAGUUUCUUUAUGGCCAAGAAUGGAAUAUUCAUGCUUUCCUUUCUUUCACUUCUCUUCAAAGCAACAGGCAAACGACCUCUGUUAGUGUGAGUUUUGGCAGUACAGAGAGUGUUUUCAAUGAUAUCCCAUGAAUUUCACCUAUGAGAAGAAUGAAUCUGGCAAACACACAUCGUAAUCUCCUCCAAAAACUCUCCAGUGCUGAUUAGCUUUUGAAUCGUGUCACAACUGCUAGUUGACAUAGCACAAUUUCAAUUUUUUGGCCAUCUAUAUAAUUACUAAAAAUGUUUGUUGAGGCAGUACUGUACCAUAGUACAUUUGUGAUUUUCAGUGAAGUAACUUGAAAUAUGACUCUCCUUAUGGUGAAACAAGUUAUUUAUGUCUUUCUGUGCCUCAGCUUCCUAAUGUGUAAAAUGGAAGUAACAUUGCGUGAUUUAGAGCUUGGACUAUACUAGAUGCUAAAAUAAAGUUAGCUGUUCUUAUGUCCCUAGUUAUUCUAAGAGCUAUCAGUAAGACCCCUGCCCAAAGUCCAUAUAUUCCCACCUGAAUCAUGUCCCUCCUAAGCACAGGAACUAGCAGCAAGAGCUGGAUCUGGGAACGGUCUGAUGUUGUCUGUUAUAGAAAACACUGCUACAAACUUCUGGAAACAAAAUGAAUCAAGCUGAUACAUACGCUUCAUUUCUACUGAAAACACAGAAUUGCUAGGUAAAUUGUGAUUGUUUUAAGAAAAGAUUUAUUCAAGGUUAACAGCAGGGGCAGCAGCAACAAAAACAAUAAUGAAGAAAAAACCUACAGUGUCUAAGAAUGAAGAAACUGAAGUCUGAUGGGCACACUGGAACUGAAGCUGUAGGGUCCAAAGAGUUCUGGAUCUCAGAUAAGCAUCUGAGAUUACAGUUCUGUUCCCUCACAUAAAUUUUAGGAGAUAAGAUCCUAGAACCAUGGGAGGCAGUGGCCUGAAAGUGACACGCUUACAAAAAAACCCAGAGCUACAAAGAGCUACACUGCCUCUUUAAAAGGGACUAAAUAACCACACCCAGCAUCCCUGGGAAGAAACUACAUGGAACUGUGAUAACUACAAAAUGAAAAACUGUAUAUAAAAAUUAUCCAAGAUCACAAUGUCUAGUUUCAGUAAUAGAGGUAUUACUUUUAUUAGAUUUACCAUCCCACAGAUAACAACUACACAUUCUGUAAUAAAUAUAAAACUACUCUAUAUAUACACUACAUAUAUAUAGUGUGUGUGUGUGUAUAUAUAUAUAUAUAUAACUUGCUUGAGAAACAACCAAAAUCAAGCAGAAACUGGAAGGAAACUUAUAUUCGGAAGAAAGAAACAGCAUUGUUUUUGUCUAAGGGCUGGUCCCAGACCAUGUCAACUUGAGUGACUAAAGCUCGGAUAGAAAGUCCAUAGAUUUCUGGCUUGAAGAACCAAAGAACAAACUUCACAGCUAUCACAGCAGCUGAAAAGUGAGGCCAGAAAUCCUAGAAAGGAGACAGCCACAGAGGGGGAGACAACCCCAAAUUUUGCAUAGGCUGACGCUUGAACUAUGUAGGCAUGGGAUACAUUCCAAAGUUACGCAGCUAGUACUAAAAUGACUUUAACAGAUAUUUCUGCUGCUGCUCACCACAGGACAGAUGGGGUCUGGAGUUUGAGUCCAGGCAUGUUAAAUGACUGUAAAACAAAACUAAACUCAACAAAAAAUCCAAACUCUGGAAAGAAGUAUCAAGGAAUCCAGAGUCUCUACAACAUGCCAGUCACAAUGUCACCUAAAACUAUUACACAUAGAAGAAACAGAAAGAUGUGAUCCAUUGUGAAGAGUAGAGACCAAGCCUGACAUGUUGAAAUUAGCUGAGAAGGAUUAUUUAAAACAACUAUUAUAAUAAUGCUCAAAGAUGUAAAGGAAAAUAUGGUUUCAGUGAACGAAUAAGUAGAAAAUCUCACCAGAGAAAAGAAAAAAUUUGCAGGAUGGGCUUAACAGCAGAAUAGCAAUGACAGAAGAAAGGGUCAGUGAACCUGAAUACAGAACAACAGAAAUUAUCCAAUUUGAAAGACAGACAGAGGGGAAAAAAGAUUUUUUUAAAAAUGAACAAAGCCUCAGUAUUUUAUGUGAUAAUAUUUUAAAAAUCUAACAAGCAUAUAAUUUGAAUCCCAGAAAGAUAGGGUAAGAGAGAAAAUGAGGCAGAAAAAAAAUGUUUAAAGAAAUAAUGAUUAAAAAAUUCACUAAAUUUGGUGAAAGAAAUAAAUGUACAGGUUGACGAAGUUCAGUGCAUCCCAAACAGGAAUAAAUACAAAGAAAAUGACACCUAGGUACAUUAAAGUCAAGCUGCUGUCACGUUAAGAAAAAACUAAAUUUUAAAAGCAGCCAGAGAAAAAUAACUUGUGUUCAGGAGAACCAUACUAACGAUGAUGAACUUCUCAUCAGAAAUAAA
This is a long non-coding RNA of Cercocebus atys (sooty mangabey), 2624 nucleotides long. RefSeq lists it as uncharacterized. Lineage: Eukaryota; Metazoa; Chordata; Mammalia; Primates; Cercopithecidae. The record is from RefSeq and is a predicted model, not a curated record. The transcript is spliced from 2 exons.